This 826-nucleotide ribosomal RNA is filed under the name uncultured Flavobacterium sp. RNAcentral's name for it is "bacterial SSU rRNA". It matches the Rfam family "Bacterial small subunit ribosomal RNA", at positions 8 to 842 of the family's 1533-position model. Lineage: Bacteria; Pseudomonadati; Bacteroidota; Flavobacteriia; Flavobacteriales; Flavobacteriaceae. The record is from RNAcentral.
AGAGUUUGAUCAUGGCUCAGGAUGAACGCUAGCGGCAGGCUUAACACAUGCAAGUCGAGGGGUAGGGUAGCAAUACCUGAGACCGGCGCACGGGUGCGUAACGCGUAUGCAAUCUACCUUGUACAGGGGGAUAGCCCAGAGAAAUUUGGAUUAAUACCCCAUAGUAUUUUCAAAUGGCAUCAUUUGAUUAUUAAAGUUCCAACGGUACAAGAUGAGCAUGCGUCCCAUUAGCUAGUUGGUGUGGUAACGGCAUACCAAGGCUACGAUGGGUAGGGGUCCUGAGAGGGAGAUCCCCCACACUGGUACUGAGACACGGACCAGACUCCUACGGGAGGCAGCAGUGAGGAAUAUUGGUCAAUGGGCGCAAGCCUGAACCAGCCAUGCCGCGUGCAGGAUGAAGCAUCUAUGGUGUGUAAACUGCUUUUGUACAGGAAGAAACACUCCCUCGUGAGGGAGCUUGACGGUACUGUAAGAAUAAGGACCGGCUAACUCCGUGCCAGCAGCCGCGGUAAUACGGAGGGUCCAAGCGUUAUCCGGAAUCAUUGGGUUUAAAGGGUCCGUAGGCGGUUAAAUAAGUCAGUGGUGAAAUCUGGUCGCUCAACGAUCAAACGGCCAUUGAUACUGUUUAACUUGAAUUUUUGUGAAGUAACUAGAAUAUGUAGUGUAGCGGUGAAAUGCUUAGAUAUUACAUGGAAUACCAAUUGCGAAGGCAGGUUACUAACAAACGAUUGACGCUGAUGGACGAAAGCGUGGGUAGCGAACAGGAUUAGAUACCCUGGUAGUCCACGCUGUAAACGAUGGAUACUAGCUGUUGGAGGCAACUUCA